This 399-nucleotide ribosomal RNA is filed under the name uncultured bacterium. RNAcentral's name for it is "bacterial SSU rRNA". It matches the Rfam family "Bacterial small subunit ribosomal RNA", at positions 98 to 535 of the family's 1533-position model. The record is from RNAcentral.
GCGGAAGGGUGAGUAACGCGUGAGAUCUGCCCUCAGGAGGGGGAUAACGGCUGGAAACGGCCGCUAAUACCCCAUAUGCCGAGAGGUGAAAUGAAUUUCCCCUGAGGAUGAGCCCGCGUCUGAUUAGCUAGUUGGUGGGGUAAAAGCCCACCAAGGCUUCGAUCAGUAGCUGGUCUGAGAGGAUGAUCACCCACCCUGGGACUGAGACCCGGCCCAAACUCCUACGGGAGGCAGCAGUGGGGAAUUUUCCGCAAUGGGCAAAAGCCUGACGGAGCAACCCCGCGUGAGGGAUGAAGGCCUCUGGGCUGUAAACCUCUUUUCUCAAGGAAAAAAAUCUGACGGUACUUGAGGAAUAACCCACGGCUAAUUCCGUGCCACCCCCCGCGAAAAGGAAAAGGA